RNAcentral lists this ribosomal RNA (207 nucleotides) under uncultured bacterium. RNAcentral's name for it is "partial 16S ribosomal RNA". It matches the Rfam family "Bacterial small subunit ribosomal RNA", at positions 568 to 774 of the family's 1533-position model. The record is from RNAcentral.
UGCGCAGGCGGUUUGUUAAGCGAGAUGUGAAAGCCCUGGGCUCAACCUAGGAAUAGCAUUUCGAACUGGCGAACUAGAGUCUUGUAGAGAGGGGUAGAAUUCCAGGUGUAGCGGUGAAAUGCGUAGAGAUCUGGAGGAAUACCGGUGGCGAAGGCGGCCCCCUGGACAAAGACUGACGCUCAUGCACGAAAGCGUGGGGAGCAAACA